This 484-nucleotide ribosomal RNA is filed under the name uncultured bacterium. RNAcentral's name for it is "partial 16S ribosomal RNA". It matches the Rfam family "Bacterial small subunit ribosomal RNA", at positions 30 to 507 of the family's 1533-position model. The record is from RNAcentral.
AUUGAACGCUGGCGGCAGGCCUAACACAUGCCAGUCGAGCGGAUGAAGGGAGCUUGCUCCUGGAUUCAGCGGCGGACGGGUGAGUAAUGCCUAGGAAUCUGCCUGGUAGUGGGGGAUAACGUCCGGAAACGGGCGCUAAUACCGCAUACGUCCUGAGGGAGAAAGUGGGGGAUCUUCGGACCUCACGCUAUCAGAUGAGCCUAGGUGGGAUUAGCUAGUUGGUGGGGUAAAGGCCUACCAAGGCGACGAUCCGUAACUGGUCUGAGAGGAUGAUCAGUCACACUGGAACUGAGACACGGUCCAGACUCCUACGGGAGGCAGCAGUGGGGAAUAUUGGACAAUGGGCGAAAGCCUGAUCCAGCCAUGCCGCGUGUGUGAAGAAGGUCUUCGGAUUGUAAAGCACUUUAAGUUGGGAGGAAGGGCAGUAAGUUAAUACCUUGCUGUUUUGACGUUACCAACAGAAUAAGCACCGGCUAACUUCGUG